CGGAAUGUAGCUCAGCUUGGUAGAGCACUUGGUUUGGGACCAAGGGGUCGCAGGUUCGAAUCCUGUCAUUCCGACCA
Molecule: transfer RNA, 77 nt
Filed under: Kurthia zopfii
Lineage: Bacteria; Bacillati; Bacillota; Bacilli; Caryophanales; Caryophanaceae
Also listed under: 9 other names
Description: tRNA-Pro(tgg)
Rfam family: tRNA
About the family: Transfer RNA (tRNA) molecules are approximately 80 nucleotides in length. Their secondary structure includes four short double-helical elements and three loops (D, anti-codon, and T loops). Further hydrogen bonds mediate the characteristic L-shaped molecular structure. tRNAs have two regions of fundamental functional importance: the anti-codon, which is responsible for specific mRNA codon recognition, and the 3' end, to which the tRNAs corresponding amino acid is attached (by aminoacyl-tRNA synthetases). tRNAs cope with the degeneracy of the genetic code in two manners: having more than one tRNA (with a specific anti-codon) for a particular amino acid; and 'wobble' base-pairing, i.e. permitting non-standard base-pairing at the 3rd anti-codon position.
Source: RNAcentral